Molecule: long non-coding RNA, 1318 nt
Organism: Schistocerca serialis cubense
Lineage: Eukaryota; Metazoa; Arthropoda; Insecta; Orthoptera; Acrididae
Exons: 6
Source: RefSeq, a predicted model, not a curated record
GUGGGGCGCAGUAUGGGCACUGGACGGCAGAAGCGGAAGGCAUUGUACUGAAUCUGUUUCGAAGCAAUGACUUUUGUUUCGCACUGUUACAUAUUUUUGCUGAGAAAUAUUUUAGUACGAGAAAUAAGGAUAUAUAUAGAGAGAAAAAAUGCCAAACCAUCAUUUCUGGUUGUACCAAAAAGAUAAAAAUUAUUGCAUUCAUGCAGAAGGGCACCAUAUUGGACACUGCUCCCUUUUCAAGAAAAGGGACCUAAAAGAUUUAGUUGAUGUGAAGUGAGGGCUACGGUGAAAUUGGAGAAACAGACUGGAUGUAGAAUGAAAGUCACCAGAAACAUAAGGCCCCUUUGUUUGUUUGGUUUGGCCCAAACAGAUGUCUGUCGCAUCACUAUUCACAGAAUCUGUAGUGUCGUCAGCAUCAUCUUUAUGAAGUGUUCCAGUAGUGUGGCAGUGGUAGCAAAUGACCACAUCUGAAGGACCAUGAUAGCACGUCAUCCCUCCUGAUUGUCAAUGAUACAGUUGCAUAUUUAAUGCAACUGAUAACCGUUCCUGAAUGGAGAGGGGAUCUAGUAUUUGACUACUGUCUCAUGUGAUUGUUAAAUGAUGUCACAACUAGCCAGUUCUUGUUCUUUGCAUUGCUAUCAGAGGAUCGGUGUCCUGUUAAGAGGCAUAUUAACAUUCUUUACCAUGAUUGGCUGCACACUCUCAGGGUUGACGUCUGGUAACCUAAAUACAGCCAAAGCAAGCUGUGGGUAGCAACCCUAGAGAGAAACAUUGAGAGCUGCCCAACACUGUGUUCUGCUGCUGGAGUAGUUGAAACACGGCAAUAUCCUGGAAAUGGAUUGGCAACCUUGUCGUCAAUCACUCGCUUCCUAGACCAGAGCUGAAUUAUCCUUCUACAUUCAUAGGAAGAUGUACGAGAAGAAUGGUGUUAGGAGCAAGUGGAUUGAUGCUUGUGUACAGUGUUUCAUAAGCUGUGCAUGUGUCCUUGUGGUGCCGACUAGCUUGUGCUGCCAUUGAGGUCACAAUUGGGAAUGAUGGCACACAAAGAAUUAUCUUAUGAUGUUCUUGCCUAAAUGUCCUGGUAAGGUUUAAACUCUUCAGUUUGAAGAGCUAUGUUCAGGUGUGUUUGCAUCCUGUGGAUUCCCAAUGACAAACCACGUGAACUGACCCUAUUGUGGUAUUGUGGUUGGAGGCUAGACUGGCAAACAGACCUUAAUGCUGAAAGCUUGGUUUGCUGUCAGAUCCCUUUUCCUAAACUGUGUCCUUAUGCAAUAUUGUGUGUGUGUAUGUAUGUGUGUGUGUGUGUGUGUGUGUGUGU